Molecule: ribosomal RNA, 433 nt
Filed under: uncultured bacterium
Lineage: Bacteria
Description: partial 16S ribosomal RNA
Rfam family: Bacterial small subunit ribosomal RNA
Source: RNAcentral
AACGAACGCUGGCGGCAUGCCUAACACAUGCAAGUCGAACGAGACCUUCGGGUCUAGUGGCGCACGGGUGCGUAACGCGUGGGAAUCUGCCCUUGGGUUCGGAAUAACAGUGAGAAAUUACUGCUAAUACCGGAUGAUGUCUUCGGACCAAAGAUUUAUCGCCCAGGGAUGAGCCCGCGUAGGAUUAGCUAGUUGGUGGGGUAAUGGCCUACCAAGGCGACGAUCCUUAGCUGGUCUGAGAGGAUGAUCGGCCACACUGGGACUGAGACACGGCCCAGACUCCUACGGGAGGCAGCAGUGGGGAAUAUUGGACAAUGGGCGCAAGCCUGAUCCAGCAAUGCCGCGUGAGUGAUGAAGGCCUUAGGGUUGUAAAGCUCUUUUACCCGGGAUGAUAAUGACAGUACCGGGAGAAUAAGCUCCGGCUAACUCCGUG